AUGGCUCAGGAUGAACGCUGGCGGCGUGCUUAAUACAUGCAAGUCGAACGGAAGUAUUAGGAGCUUGCUCUUGAUAACUUAGUGGCGGACGGGUGAGUAACGCGUGGGUAACCUGCCUCAGUACAGGGGGAUAACAGUUAGAAAUGACUGCUAACACCGCAUAACAUGAAGGAACCGCAUGAUUCUUUCAUCAAAUAUUUAUAGGUAUGAGAUGGGCCCGCGUCUGAUUAGCUAGGCUGGUGAGGUAAAGGCCCACCAAGGCGACGAUCAGUAGCCGUACUGAGAGGUAGAACGGCCACAUUGGGACUGAGACACGGCCCAAACUCCUACGGGAGGCAGCAGUAGGGAAUAUUGGACAAUGGGGGGCAACCCUGAUCCAAGCGACGCCGCGUGAGUGAAGAAGUUAUUCGUAAUGUAAAGCUCUAUCAGCAGGGACGAUAAUGACGGUACCUGACUAAGAAGCACCGGCUAAAUACGUGCCAGCCGCCGC
This 490-nucleotide ribosomal RNA is filed under the name uncultured bacterium. Its description in RNAcentral is "bacterial SSU rRNA". It matches the Rfam family "Bacterial small subunit ribosomal RNA", at positions 19 to 518 of the family's 1533-position model. The record is from RNAcentral.